RNAcentral lists this ribosomal RNA (482 nucleotides) under uncultured bacterium. RNAcentral's name for it is "partial 16S ribosomal RNA". It matches the Rfam family "Bacterial small subunit ribosomal RNA", at positions 28 to 507 of the family's 1533-position model. The record is from RNAcentral.
GACGAACGCUGGCGGCGUGCUUAACACAUGCAAGUCGAACGCUGAAGCUCAGCUUGCUGGGUGGAUGAGUGGCGAACGGGUGAGUAACACGUGAGUAACCUGCCCUCUUCUUUGGGAUAACGCCCGGAAACGGGUGCUAAUACUGGAUAUUCACUGAUUCUCGCAUGGGGGUUGGUGGAAAGGUUUUUUCUGGUGGGGGAUGGGCUCGCGGCCUAUCAGCUUGUUGGUGGGGUGAUGGCCUACCAAGGCUUUGACGGGUAGCCGGCCUGAGAGGGUGACCGGUCACAUUGGGACUGAGAUACGGCCCAGACUCCUACGGGAGGCAGCAGUGGGGAAUAUUGCACAAUGGGCGAAAGCCUGAUGCAGCGACGCCGCGUGAGGGAUGGAGGCCUUCGGGUUGCAAACCUCUUUCGCUCAUGGUCAAGCCGCAGCUUUGGGUUGUGGUGAGGGUAGUGGGUAAAGAAGCGCCGGCUAACUACGUG